RNAcentral lists this unclassified non-coding RNA (421 nucleotides) under Salvia miltiorrhiza (redroot sage). RNAcentral's name for it is "partial external transcribed spacer". Lineage: Eukaryota; Viridiplantae; Streptophyta; Magnoliopsida; Lamiales; Lamiaceae. The record is from RNAcentral.
CUGCUCUGGCAGCGACGACAUCUCCUCCACGUCUCUUCAAUAUUUGGCGCGAGCGCUUGCUCGGCCGACCUCUGUUUCCUGUGCUGAAUACCUAUUGCGAGGGCAUUGUGUCUGCUACGUUUGUUCGCUUCCCACCUUGUGCCGCUGCUCCACGUGGGCGUGCGGUGCGGGGCGGGCCAAAUCGCGCGCGUCGUGUGUCUCACCACCUUCGCCCCUAGGGGCGUUCGGGUUGUCUACCCAUCACUUGUGCUCUGCCUCUCCGGUACGGUGCAUCACACGGGUACGAGGCCUUCCCCCUCCCCUACCACAAUCCCCUUUUCUACCCUUCCAGCCAACGACCGUCCGAUCGGUCUUUGGCCGUGCUCUCGCAAGCCCCUUCAAGUCGGGCCCACGUCGAUGAGGAAUGCUACCUGGUUGAUCC